UCGAAUAAUAAGGGUUUCAGAAGAACCCUAGAAUGAGAAAUCCUUUGAAAAGGUUUAAUCUGAGUCGGCGAAGCCAAAACCAGGCUCAAAACACCAUUUUACACGGGAGCAAGGCCAGAGAUGGCCGUAGAACCUUGAAUCGACGGAGAACUGGGCGAAGAAAUUCGAGGUCAGACCUUGAAUCUUCCAGUACCAAGAGUAUAGGAGCAAGGAGAGGUGAGUAUAGGGCUCCCAUGUCCUGAGAAGCCAUGGAUCCCAGUAAGUUUAAGGUAGAAGAUAGUGAUAGGGGCUAGGAUUUUGAGAGAUUCUAAGAGAAGAGAAGGGAUUUCAGAGGCGACGGUUUGAGUGAAAUGAGUUAG
This 359-nucleotide long non-coding RNA is filed under the name Nicotiana benthamiana. Its description in RNAcentral is "long non-coding RNA (NBEN_LNC014058)". The record is from RNAcentral. Lineage: Eukaryota; Viridiplantae; Streptophyta; Magnoliopsida; Solanales; Solanaceae.